UCUAGGUGCAUAUUGAUUAUGACAAUAUGUUUAUAAGUCUUGACUAAUUACGUGCCAGCAGUCGCGGCAAUACGUAUGAGACGAGUGUUAUUCAUCUUUAAUAGGUUUAAAGGGUACUUAGACGGUUUAAUUAGCUAAAGCGGUACAAUUAAUCUAGAGUUUUAUAUAAGAAGGUAGUACUCUGGAGUGUAGUGAUAAAAUACUUUGAUACCCGGGGGACUGGCAACGGCGAAGGCAACCUUUAUCUUAAAACUGACGUCCAAGGACGAAGGCUUAGAGCACUAGAGGGAUUUGGUACCCCAGUAGUCUUUGCAGAAAAUUAUGAAUGUCAUAGAUUAGUAAUAGUAAUAGAUAUCUAGGKAGUGUAGUGGGUGGAUAUUUAAUCUUACACUCCACUCCACUUUAAGUACAGGUUGAUAACAGUAUAAUAGUAUGGUUGGGCGCAUCUUCUUCGGCGGCCCGUAAGGUUAACUGUAUUAAUUAUGCAUAGUACAUAUGUACUAUGUAUGGUUGCUACCUUGAUAGUUUAGUCUAUUAAUGAAAGUGUAUUUCACCUGGGCGAAUGCGGGACAAUGGGCAUGGAAUCAAUAGAUUGCAGAGGAUGCCCAUGUUAUUAAUUGAUGAUCCGCA
RNAcentral lists this ribosomal RNA (630 nucleotides) under Phyllachora myrciae. Its description in RNAcentral is "SSU rRNA". The stretch from base 1 to 397 matches the Rfam family "Bacterial small subunit ribosomal RNA", at positions 454 to 873 of the family's 1533-position model. The record is from RNAcentral. Lineage: Eukaryota; Fungi; Ascomycota; Sordariomycetes; Phyllachorales; Phyllachoraceae.